UUUGAUUUUGUAAUAAUAAUGCACGUUUAGAUUUAUUGUAAUAUGUUAAUAUUUAUUCGCAAUGUAAUUUAUUCUUAUGUUAUUUAUAAUAACGUUAAAUGUCAUAAGAAUGUUAUAAUUUAAUAUAAUAUUAUAAUAAAUAAUUAUAAUAAUGUUAAAAUAUAAACAAUACAAUUUUUUUAAUAGUUUAUUUUUAUAAUGAGAAGUCUCAAAGUUUGUCUUUAUUAUAGAAAACUCAUUGUUGAAUGGCUACCACUUUACAAUAAGGUUGUAUGUAUUAGUUAAUGUAUUUACUAACAUAAUAAACAAUACAUUUAUUACAGUAUUUAUUCAUCUUUGCUAAUGUUGGUAAAUGGUAAAAAGUUGUUAAUUGUUUAUUCAUGUUAACUCGCAAUGUAUUAAUUAAUGUUAACAAGCAUGACUGAUUUUAUUAAUGCAUUAGUAAAUGCUGUACAUAAAUUAUGCUGUACAGGUAUUGUUCAUAUUAGUUCAUAUUUAAACCAUUAACAUUACUUAUAAAACUACUGUAAAAUGUAACUGUUGUAUGUAUGUUGUUAUAUUAUAUUUGUAUGUAUUUUAUAUGUAUUUUAUAUUUAUUUUGUUAUAUUUGUUAACGUAUGUGUUUUUGAAACAUUUCAUUAAGUGUUUAAUGUAUGUUCGUUAUGCAGUAUUAUAAAUAAAUGUUAUAAUGAUUAA
Molecule: long non-coding RNA, 696 nt
Filed under: Danio rerio (zebrafish)
Lineage: Eukaryota; Metazoa; Chordata; Actinopteri; Cypriniformes; Danionidae
Description: si:ch211-207n23.3 (ENSDARG00000097060.3)
Source: RNAcentral